UUAAGAGAGAAAAUUAAUGAGCUGUGUUAAGUUUUAUUACACAAUCUUCUGAUGUGGGAAAGCUUCCCUCCAGGAACAGCUCUAUGCAUGGCUUAACUGAUUUAGGCAUGCCUGCUGCAGUAUUCUCCAGAAUGUGUUGGAGAUCAAAGUAGGGGGAGUUAUUCAGGUUUUAUAGCAAGGUAAUUAAAAAAAUAUGGGGAUUAUUACAUAUAAAUCAUACUUGCAUAAAUUUGCUGGCAAAAUAAAAUCAAAUAAACACGUUUAAAAAAAUGAGAUCAGGAAAACAUUCAGCCACAUUUUUUACCAUUACACAUGCAAAGCUAUACCCUGAAGUCUAUACAGUUGACCUCCUUGUACUGCAGAGAAUUUGGCCCAGCUCCAUCUUAGUGGUGUUCUCAUUUACUUAAAAAAGAGAAAAAAAAGAAAAAGAAACAAAAAAAGGCGUAGAAGGCAUACUGAGCCUUCCUAUGUUGUGACAAUGUGAAGAUGGGCAAUUUUCACCAGGUGCAGUAGAGAGAGGUGGUCCCAGGGAGAGCGGUGGCAAGACUGCCCUUAGUUUCUGUGGUGAUUUCGUCUAAAAGUUUAUUCGCCUGCAUGUAAACUCAUGUGCCUCAACAUUUCUCUUUUCAAUGCAAAUGUUAGUAUUCUAUGAAACAAGACACAAGAGCAGACUCUGUUCUCUCUGCUAUUGUUGCAGCGCAGAGUGUAAGCGAAGAACAGGUUUGGACCGACAACUUCCGGAAAAGGGGGUAAAAACGAAGCCCUAGAAAACUGCAAAGACUGUCUGUUCUCAGGUCCCUGAGAGAGUACAUGUAGAGUUCACACUGGAAGCUGCACAGCUGAAGCACUAGCAACAGAAAGAGCAGAACACACUUGGCUGUCAUUUUACCAGUCUUUUACCAGUACAAUUUGGACAUUGAAAACCUACGUGAAGUAUCAGAUGCCUCUCACUUGGCAGCUGGCCUCAUCACAGCCAAGUCAGGAGUAGAAAAAUCUCUGGAUGAUUUCAGCUGGCCAAAGGGUCAGGAGGCUGAGGCUGAAUAGCUGGAUGCUGCAGCAUGCUGGAAGGAGCAGGGAGCAGUGGCUACUUGGAGAUGCCUUUGCUUGAAAAUGGUCUAACUGGAAUGAAGAGAUGGCAACAGAGCCACCGAACAGAUGCAGUGACCAGUGUCACAGCAGAAGGUGAGAGCCUGACCACCAAGUGCAUCAGUAUUCCCGGAAGUUUCCGACUUGGUGAGUAUUCGAUCAAUAUACUAAGGCUGAGCUUCGAGCAGUAGUUGGAUGAGAUCUAAUCCAUACAUCUGGAAGCAGUCUGUGUAUCACAGAGAAUACGUGCAGAGGGGGCUGUGCUCAUAUUUGUCCCAUGUGUUUGCUUUUAUUUGAUUUUGUAUCUGGGUGGGAAAGGGAGAGAGGAAAUUCUCUGACAUUUUCACAUGCCUUUUUUUUUAAGUGACUCUGAGAAACAAUUCAAACAUCUUGUCUAUUCAAAUGAAAAGCUGUAAAGUGACCUGACAUCUUUUGUGGAUGCAGUCUUGGGUAGGAAGUACCACAUUCCCAUCUCUAAGAACCGCUACUGUGAUUAUCUUGCCAGCAUCUUUGGCGGUAGAAACCAAAGGUGCAGGAAUAAAUUACAGAUCCAGAGUUUCCUCUUUGCCAUGUCUUUGUGAACUGGUAGACAAGCAAGAAAUUGUCUUCUGAGUGCAAAAUACUCUGCUCCUAAUACUUUCCAUUACUCUCUGCUGCUGGAACAACUAAGAUUCAGAAAACAUCCUUCUGUGCCUCUCCCGUCUGGCUGUUGUAUUUCUAUCCUGAUUUUAAUACAAAAUCGUUCGGGCCCUCUAAAAAGCUACUACUGCUGCAAGGGAUUUUAUGGCCUGGAAAAAUAUCUGCAUCGCCAUCUUCUACAACAACGUAUAAAAGCUCACAGCUCCUGAAGCUCUUCGAGACUAUGGAAACAGAAGAAUUAGAAUAAAAACACUGGUGGUGAUUAAUUAUGCCUGGAUUAACAAAAUGCCAGCCUUUGCUAAUUGUUCUGGGAGCCAUGAGGAAAGGAAUCAGCAUUGCCCUGCUGGAAGUGGCUCGGUCGCUGCAGCCCUCAAAAGCCCGGAGGAAGAAGAGGAGGAGGCGGAGGAAGCCAGGGCUGAGAAAGUGCCAUUUUCUCUGCUGGCAGCCACUCCCAGGGAAAUGCCAGGGCUCUGCCUCAGCAGUUUGAAGUCGCAUACUUGAGUUUUAGACUUUUUUGCUUUAAUGCUGCAGCUGCCCAGCGCCACGGGUUGUCUGAGACUCCAACCUAUCCUGAUUCCUCAGAACAAGAUCCAAAAGCUUUUCUUUGGAUGGUACUCAUGGAGAAAGUGAUGGUGCUAAUGGUAAAAUAUAGCAAUUUUAAAUCAUCAACCCCAAGCCAUUCAGUAACCUUCCCAUUCGCACGACUGUGUGCUAUGCUUAUGUAGUAUCAUACUUAAUUGCAAAUGUUACCGUGGUGUUGCCUGAACAUUUCGCUUCCCAUAAUAACUCAGUGAGCCAUGGCAAGAGAGAAUUGUGCCCCAGGCUCAGCAGAAAAUACAGCAUAUACCCCCAUGCUGCAAAACAGCUCUUUUCCAACCUGAUCCUUGGCAGAACCCCUGGUUACACGUGGUUCGACCCCAUGCUGCUGAAGCUGUUCUUUCACUUCUGAGUACACUCUCAUCUGAUGUCAAUUCAUAAAGCUCCACAAAUUACGCCUAUUCACACUUGGAACCCACUACUCCUGUGUUGAAGUACUAAGUUAUUGUUUAUUAGCUGAAUGGAUAUUAGGUGCACGUGUGUACGGUUUUUCAUUUCAGAUGAAGGAAAAAAAAAAGUAAAAGUAAGAAUCCAAAGAGUGCCCAUAAGCCAUGAAGAGCUUGGAUUGAAUGACAAACACGGGGACAAGGCAAGGUGGUGUGAUUUGCUGAGAGGAGGGAGCCCUGGGUUGUCUCCUGGGUGCUGCAGAGUCAGAGAGAAGUAAUUUCCCACUUGCACUUGGAUGUGGCAAUUGCCACCCGGGGUGUGACUCCAUUCCAUUCCCUUUGGGAACAGAGCCCUCUGUGAGCAGCUCCGGCACCCCACCUACUACUCUGGGGUCCCGAUGCUGGGGACACAGGGCAUUUCCAGUGUAAUAUAAAUCAUCAGAUGAAAGAGGGGAUUUAAAUCCAAUUUCUUUUGUGGUUGGUACUUCAAAAUACUUUAUAAGUCAUAUCAAGAGGAUUUUUAAAAAUCUUUCUUUAUGAGUUGCUUUCUUUUCCAGAAUAGUAUCCUUGGAAAUGACCCACUGGUUAAAAACAAAGCAAUAAUAAAUCCCUGUGAAAAACAGUGACUUGAAUUUCCAUGAAUGUCAUUACCUUCACCAGCCUGCACUGUGUUUGUGUGGCCCAGCGGAGAAGAUGGAACAGUUGAACAGACGACUGGCAGCAUUGAGAUUAUACAAAGAGACCAUCAAACGUCAUCCAGACUGCUGCUAAGUACGUUUGUCUGCAUAUCAUGCUCAAGCAAAACACUUGCAACGUGAAUUCAGGUCUGUGCCAGGUCACGAUGCUACAGUCCAGAGCCACACGAUCCAGCAAGACAGAGCCACAAUGCAAGAGCGAAAUCAGUAGGAAGAAAAAGCCCCAGAGGAAACAACUCACCCCAACACUCAGUGACAGUAUGUUCAGGCAGCUGCCUGUGUUUUUACCCCAUUACACGCUAGAUGAUGUGACUAUUAUUUGCAUAUAGAUAUUUGCACCCCAGCUGUGCUGGCAGAUUUUGUUUUUCCAGGUGCCAGGCAGCACUUAGACUAAGUGGACUUGAGGCUUGCUGCCAUGUCACUCUCAUCAGACCAAACACAUUAUUUUUUAAAUGCCUGUGAGAGGUGACCUAGAGCCUUUGGCAUGUCCUCAGGGAAGCAUCAGCCAUGGUAACUCAGAGCAGCUUUUUUAAAUCAUUACUGGAGGGGACUGUGAGGCUUUUAUUCACAAACUAGUAGGGUUUGCCAUAUGGGAGCUCAGUCUUUCAUCCUGGCAUAAUGAACUAGGGGACCUGGGCAGCAACUGGAAGAGUGAAAAAAUACUUGAGAUGCUUGGAAACAUCUGUCUGUCCUCAGUUUUCUUACCCUUACCUUUGUAGAGAUGUGGGACAGGCCUACGUGCCAGGAGGCAUAGAAGCACUGCUGUAGGUUUUGAAGGUACUUUCCAAGCUGCCCUCAUACUUCUGCACAUGGUCCUGCCAUUUUAUUAAAUUCUUCUGAAGUUGCUCCUGACCUAAACUAAGUAUUUUCCUAUCGACAUCAACUUUUGCCACUUCACUAUUCACCCCCAGGUUAUUAAUAAAGCAUUAAACAAUAUUGGUCUGAGUCCUGCUCUCUAGGGCACCUCAUUAUUAAUCUCUUUCCCUAGCAGAAUUGGCCAUUUAUUCAUACUAAUUUAUAACCAGAUUUUAAUCCAUGACAGGACUUUACCUUUCACUUUAUGGUUACCAAGUUUCCUUAACAAUUUUUUGUGUGGGUGUUUAUCAAAAGGUUUGUGAAUGUCCAAAUAAAUUAUAUCCUCUGGUUGUUCUUUACCCACUAUUUUAUUAACUCUCAAAAGUGUAUAAAGUCUGACUGGCAAGAUUUAUUCUUAUAGCAGCUAGGUUACUUUUUUCUUUGCUUGAGACUUGAUAUCUCCCUGCAGAUUGUAAAAUAUUUUGAGCAGUGACCCUCUGAAUCUUGUGGCUUGAGGCACUACCAGAUAUGUUGUCAAUGUUUAAUUAAAAAUAAAAGCGAAUGUAAUAUA
Long non-coding RNA from Columba livia (rock pigeon), 4769 nucleotides. RefSeq lists it as uncharacterized. The record is from RefSeq and is a predicted model, not a curated record. The transcript is spliced from 4 exons. Lineage: Eukaryota; Metazoa; Chordata; Aves; Columbiformes; Columbidae.